AUCUUGGUUCAGGAGCCUGAUGGUUGGGUGUUCAUGCCAUUGUGUGAGAUGUGUUUCCCCCUCAAACAUCAUUAGAACAUCAGGAUUUUAUCUGUUUGGUG
Small nucleolar RNA from Octodon degus (degu), 101 nucleotides. RefSeq annotates it as small nucleolar RNA U13. The record is from RefSeq and is a predicted model, not a curated record. The transcript has a single exon. Lineage: Eukaryota; Metazoa; Chordata; Mammalia; Rodentia; Octodontidae.